AGAUUGAACGCUGGCGGCAGGCCUAACACAUGCAAGUCGAGCGGUAGAGAGGUGCUUGCACCUCUUGAGAGCGGCGGACGGGUGAGUAAUGCCUAGGAAUCUGCCUAGUGGUGGGGGAUAACGUUCGGAAACGGACGCUAAUACCGCAUACGUCCUACGGGAGAAAGCGGGGGACCUUCGGGCCUCGCGCCAUUAGAUGAGCCUAGGUCGGAUUAGCUAGUUGGUGAGGUAAUGGCUCACCAAGGCGACGAUCCGUAACUGGUCUGAGAGGAUGAUCAGUCACACUGGAACUGAGACACGGUCCAGACUCCUACGGGAGCAGCAGUGGGAAUAUUGGACAGGUGGGACGAAAGCCU
Molecule: ribosomal RNA, 356 nt
Filed under: uncultured soil bacterium
Lineage: Bacteria
Description: bacterial SSU rRNA
Rfam family: Bacterial small subunit ribosomal RNA
Source: RNAcentral